GCAGUCGAACGAUGAAGCUUAGCUUGCUAGGUGGAUUAGUGGCGAACGGGUGAGUAACACGUAGGUAAUCUGCCCUGCACUUUGGGAUAAGCCUGGGAAACUGGGUCUAAUACCGAAUAGGACAUGUCAUCUUUGGGUGGUGUGUGGAAAGCUUUUGCGGUGUGGGAUGAGCCUGCGGCCUAUCAGCUUGUUGGUGGGGUAAUGGCCUACCAAGGCGUCGACGGGUAGCCGGCCUGAGAGGGUGUACGGCCACAUUGGGACUGAGACACGGCCCAGACUCCUACGGGAGGCAGCAGUGGGGAAUAUUGCACAAUGGGCGAAAGCCUGAUGCAGCGACGCCGCGUGGGGGAUGAAGGCCUUCGGGUUGUAAACUCCUUUCGCUAGGGACGAAGAGAAAUUGACGGUACCUGGAGAAGAAGCACCGGCUAACUACGUGCCAGCAGCCGCGGUAAUACGUAGGGUGCGAGCGUUGUCCGGAAUUACUGGGCGUAAAGAGCUCGUAGGUGGUUUGUCGCGUCGUCUGUGAAAUCCCGGGGCUUAACUCCGGGCGUGCAGGCGAUACGGGCAUAACUUGAGUGCUGUAGGGGAGACUGGAAUUCCUGGUGUAGCGGUGAAAUGCGCAGAUAUCAGAGGAACACCAAUGGCGAAGCAGGUCUCUGGGCAGUAACUGACG
RNAcentral lists this ribosomal RNA (673 nucleotides) under Corynebacterium callunae. Its description in RNAcentral is "bacterial SSU rRNA". It matches the Rfam family "Bacterial small subunit ribosomal RNA", at positions 57 to 745 of the family's 1533-position model. Lineage: Bacteria; Bacillati; Actinomycetota; Actinomycetes; Mycobacteriales; Corynebacteriaceae. The record is from RNAcentral.